UACGGGGGGGGCAAGCGUUGUUCGGAAUUACUGGGCGUAAAGGGCUCGUAGGUGGCCAACUAAGUCAGACGUGAAAUCCCUCAGCUUAACUGGGGAACUGCGUCUGAUACUGGAUGGCUUGAGUUUGGGAGAGGGAUGCGGAAUUCCAGGUGUAGCGGUGAAAUGCGUAGAUAUCUGGAGGAACACCGGUGGCGAAAGCGGCAUCCUGGACCAACACUGACACUGAUGAGCGAAAGCCAGGGGAGCAAACGGG
RNAcentral lists this ribosomal RNA (253 nucleotides) under uncultured bacterium. RNAcentral describes it as "partial 16S ribosomal RNA". It matches the Rfam family "Bacterial small subunit ribosomal RNA", at positions 524 to 776 of the family's 1533-position model. The record is from RNAcentral.